GAUGAACGCUGGCGGCGUGCUUAACACAUGCAAGUCGAACGGAAAGGCUCCUGCUUGCAGGGGUACUCGAGUGGCGAACGGGUGAGUAACACGUGGGUGAUCUGCCCUGCACUUCGGGAUAAGCCUGGGAAACUGGGUCUAAUACCGGAUAGGACGAUGGUUUGGAUGCCAUUGUGGAAAGUUUUUUCGGUGUGGGAUGAGCUCGCGGCCUAUCAGCUUGUUGGUGGGGUAAUGGCCUACCAAGGCGUCGACGGGUAGCCGGCCUGAGAGGGUGUACGGCCACAUUGGGACUGAGAUACGGCCCAGACUCCUACGGGAGGCAGAAGUGGGGAAUAUUGCACAAUGGGCGCAAGCCUGAUGCAGCGACGCCGCGUGGGGGAUGACGGCCUUCGGGUUGUAAACUCCUUUCGCUAGGGACGAAGCGCAAGUGACGGUACCUGGAGAAGAAGCACCGGCUAACUACAUG
This 466-nucleotide ribosomal RNA is filed under the name uncultured bacterium. RNAcentral's name for it is "partial 16S ribosomal RNA". It matches the Rfam family "Bacterial small subunit ribosomal RNA", at positions 28 to 507 of the family's 1533-position model. The record is from RNAcentral.